AUCAAACUUGAGAGUUUGAUCCUGGCUCAGAACGAACGCUGGCGGCGUGCCUAACACAUGCAAGUCGAACGAAGGCCCUAGCUUGCUAGGUGUCCUUAGUGGCGAACGGGUGAGUAACGCGUGGGAACCUACCCAAGUAUGGGGGACAACUACGGGAAACUGUAGCUAAUACCGCAUACGCCCUACGGGGGAAAGGCUUCGGCCGUACCUGGAGGGGCCCGCGUCGGAUUAGUUUGUUGGUGAGGUAACGGCUCACCAAGGCUACGAUAGAUAGGGGCCCUGAGAGGGGGAUCCCCCACACUGGUACUGAGACACGGACCAGACUCCUACGGGAGGCAGCAGUGAGGAAUAUUGGACAAUGGAGGCAACUCUGAUCCAGC
RNAcentral lists this ribosomal RNA (380 nucleotides) under Rhodospirillaceae bacterium. RNAcentral describes it as "bacterial SSU rRNA". It matches the Rfam family "Bacterial small subunit ribosomal RNA", at positions 1 to 392 of the family's 1533-position model. Lineage: Bacteria; Pseudomonadati; Pseudomonadota; Alphaproteobacteria; Rhodospirillales; Rhodospirillaceae. The record is from RNAcentral.